CAUUAGAGGACAUUAUAGACA
This 21-nucleotide microRNA is filed under the name Xenopus laevis (African clawed frog). RNAcentral describes it as "xla-miR-5163". Lineage: Eukaryota; Metazoa; Chordata; Amphibia; Anura; Pipidae. The record is from RNAcentral.